This 429-nucleotide ribosomal RNA is filed under the name Ibotyporanga sp. Br16-149. RNAcentral's name for it is "partial 16S ribosomal RNA". It matches the Rfam family "Bacterial large subunit ribosomal RNA", at positions 1819 to 2597 of the family's 2925-position model. The record is from RNAcentral. Lineage: Eukaryota; Metazoa; Arthropoda; Arachnida; Araneae; Pholcidae.
CUCUUUAAGAUUUUAGAAUUUAAAGUAGCGCCUGCUCCAUGAUUUAAAUAGCCGCAGACAACUGUGCUAAGGUAGCAUAAUCAUUAGCCUUUUAAUUUAAGGAUAGAAUGAAUGGCUAAACGAAACAUAUACUGUCUCAAUAUAAAUAUUGAAAUUACCUAAAAGGUAAAAAGGCCUUUAUAGAUAAAUAAGACGACAAGACCCUAAUAAACUUAUUUAUUUUGCUGGGGCGGCAAUCAAAAUAAACCUUAGAUAUUUUUAUUUAAAUCCUUUUCACUUAAUUUUCAAGUUACUAUAGGGAUAACAGCGCAACCUUUUUUAAGAGUCCAAAUCUAAAAAAAGAAUUACGACCUCGAUGUUGAAUUAGCUUAACAAUAUCUUUUGAAGCAAAAAUCUUAUUCUGUUGGUCUGUUCGACCAUUAAAUAGCU